Molecule: ribosomal RNA, 862 nt
Filed under: Acremonium alternatum
Lineage: Eukaryota; Fungi; Ascomycota; Sordariomycetes; Hypocreales; Bionectriaceae
Description: LSU rRNA
Rfam family: Eukaryotic large subunit ribosomal RNA
Source: RNAcentral
AUGCCCUAGUAGCGGCGAGUGAAGCGGCAACAGCUCAAAUUUGAAAUCUGGCCCUCGGGUCCGAGUUGUAAUUUGUAGAGGAUGUUUCUGGCGACGUGUCUUCCGAGUUCCCUGGAACGGGACGCCAUAGAGGGUGAGAGCCCCGUCCGGUCGUACGCCUAGCCUCUGUGAAACUCCUUCGACGAGUCGAGUAGUUUGGGAAUGCUGCUCAAAAUGGGAGGUAUACGUCUUCUAAAGCUAAAUACCGGCCAGAGACCGAUAGCGCACAAGUAGAGUGAUCGAAAGAUGAAAAGCACUUUGAAAAGAGGGUUAAAUAGUACGUGAAAUUGCUGAAAGGGAAGCGCUCAUGACCAGACUUGGGCUCGGUGAAUCAUCCGGCGUUCUCGCCGGUGCACUUUGCCGGCCCAGGCCAGCAUCAGCUCGCCCCGGGGGAUAAAGGUUUCGGGAAUGUAGCUCCCUCGUGGAGUGUUAUAGACCGUUGCGUAAUACCCUGUGGCGGGCUGAGGUACGCGUUCUGCAAGGAUGCUGGCGUAAUGGUCAUCAGUGACCCGUCUUGAAACACGGACCAAGGAGUCGUCUUCGUAUGCGAGUGUUCGGGUGUCAAACCCCUACGCGUAAUGAAAGUGAACGUAGGAGAGAGCUUCGGCGCAUCUCCGACCGAUCCUGAUGUUCUCGGAUGGAUUUGAGUAAGAGCAUACGGGGCCGGACCCGAAAGAAGGUGAACUAUGCCUGUAUAGGGUGAAGCCAGAGGAAACUCUGGUGGAGGCUCGCAGCGGUUCUGACGUGCAAAUCGAUCGUCAAAUAUGGGCAUGGGGGGCGAAAAGACUAAUCGAACCUUCUAGUAGCUGGUUUCCGCCGAAGU